UUUCAGGAACGUUUUUGGAAAGGGAGUCGAACAGCGGACCAGGUCAGAGUCCUUCCAUCAUUGCCAUGAUUAUCACUUUAUCACUGGGAUCCUCAACUUCCAAUACAGCCUGAUUGAAUCGUUUCACGAAAUCUUUCAAGCUCUCGGCCUCUUUUUGGUGAACGGUGAACAGGUGGGAAGCAUUCUUCUGUCGGUUUCUGCAGCUCAUAAAAUUGGCGACAAAGAGUCGGCUAAGCUCGCCAAAAGAGUCUAUGGUUCCUGGCGAUAGUUUUCGAAACCACGACCUGGCCGGUCCUUUCAAAUUGGCAGAGAACGCUUU
RNAcentral lists this long non-coding RNA (319 nucleotides) under Actinidia chinensis (golden kiwifruit). Its description in RNAcentral is "long non-coding RNA (ACHI_LNC001910)". Lineage: Eukaryota; Viridiplantae; Streptophyta; Magnoliopsida; Ericales; Actinidiaceae. The record is from RNAcentral.